Molecule: ribosomal RNA, 254 nt
Filed under: uncultured bacterium
Lineage: Bacteria
Description: partial 16S ribosomal RNA
Rfam family: Bacterial small subunit ribosomal RNA
Source: RNAcentral
UACGUAGGGUGCAAGCGUUGUCCGGAAUUAUUGGGCGUAAAGAGCUUGUAGGCGGUUUGUCGCGUCUGCUGUGAAAUUUCGGGGCUCAACCCCGAACUUGCAGUGGGUACGGGCAGACUAGAGUGUGGUAGGGGGAGACUGGAAUUCCUGGUGUAGCGGUGAAAUGCGCAGAUAUCAGGAGGAACACCGGUGGCGAAGGCGGGUCUCUGGGCAGUAACUGACGCUGAGGAGCGAAAGCGUGGGGAGCGAACAGG